Molecule: small nuclear RNA, 107 nt
Organism: Acomys russatus (golden spiny mouse)
Lineage: Eukaryota; Metazoa; Chordata; Mammalia; Rodentia; Muridae
Source: RefSeq, a predicted model, not a curated record
GUGCUUGCUUCGGCAGCACAUAUACUAAAACUGGAACAAUGCAGAGAAGAUUAGCAUGACCCCCACGCAAGGAUGCCAUGCAAAUUUGUUAAGUGUUCCAUAUUUAA